AUGUUAUUGAGAUGAGUUUUAUGAACGUGGACUUGGCGCAAUUUUUUACAGUGAAACUGUUUUUGUUCGGAUUUUCAGUAAGAUAAGCUUUAGUAAGAUCCAACUUAAGACCAAGUCAGCGCGUGUUCGUCAAUUUCCGUGAAAAUUCUUAUGUUUCCAACGAUCUCAUUGGUUGAAACGUACUUAAAUUUUGACGAUGAAGUUUUUUAUUCAAAAUUGUAAACAGAUGUACAAAUGUACCUUAGAAAAUUGUAAGCCUCAAAUUCAAGUUACACUAGAAAAUUAUUACCGCAAGAUCAGAAGAAAAUAUGUCAAAAACAGGAAAAAGUACUCAUUUUACCGCUGUAGAAAAAAAAUAUUUUCUACAAAUUUUAAAAAAUUAUGCCCAAGUAAUUGAAAAUAAAAAGAGUGAUGCUGCUACAUUAAGUGAAAAAAAAAGAAGCAUGGGAUUUUAUCGCAACCGACUUUAAUUCAUCUAGUAUAAUUACUGAAAAACGAAACGCAAAUCAACUCAAAAAAAUUUGGUAAAAUCUAAAAACAAAACAACGGAAUGCGCUGACAACCGAAAAGCAACAUCGCCUUGCAACUGGGGGCGGUCCAUCAAUUCCAGAUUCUGAAGUUGAUCCUGAUAUUGCACUUAUUGCCCCAAACUUAAUUAAAACUGCACCGAUUUUAUUUUCUUCAAAUAUGUCUGAAGAAGAAGUUACUGGGACGUUUUUAUCUUUUUUUCCUUCUCUAAAUGUAAUGCUGUUGACUCAAUGGAAUGUGAAAAAUAUAUAAGCCUUGAACAACUAUUCCCAGAUGAUGAGAAUGAUGGCAAUGAUGAUGAAGAAUUACCACGUGAACCCUCAUCGUCUAUUGUUACUAAAAAAUCCUCAACAAUCUAGGAAAAGAACUAAAGGAAGAGAAAAUCCAUCCAAUGAAGACGAGAAAUUCUAUAGAAGCGAAAGGUUAAGAAAAAUAAUAAAGCAAAAA
Molecule: long non-coding RNA, 975 nt
Filed under: Cotesia glomerata
Lineage: Eukaryota; Metazoa; Arthropoda; Insecta; Hymenoptera; Braconidae
Description: uncharacterized LOC123262045
Source: RNAcentral